UACGGAGGGUGCAAGCGUUAAUCGGAAUUACUGGGCGUAAAGCGCGCGUAGGCGGCUUGUUAAGUCGAAUGUGAAAUCCCCGGGCUCAACCUGGGAACUGCAUCCGAUACUGGCUGGCUAGAGUGUGGUAGAGGGAAGUGGAAUUUCCUGUGUAGCGGUGAAAUGCGUAGAUAUAGGAAGGAACACCAGUGGCGAAGGCGACCACCUGGACUGAUACUGACACUGAGGUGCGAAAGCGUGGGGAGCAAACAGGAUUAGAAA
RNAcentral lists this ribosomal RNA (261 nucleotides) under uncultured bacterium. Its description in RNAcentral is "partial 16S ribosomal RNA". It matches the Rfam family "Bacterial small subunit ribosomal RNA", at positions 524 to 784 of the family's 1533-position model. The record is from RNAcentral.